RNAcentral lists this ribosomal RNA (390 nucleotides) under Triticum aestivum (bread wheat). Its description in RNAcentral is "partial small subunit ribosomal RNA". Lineage: Eukaryota; Viridiplantae; Streptophyta; Magnoliopsida; Poales; Poaceae. The record is from RNAcentral.
AUGUUUUAUGGUCAUGCCCCGAUGGUCAAUGGUUUAUUCUUAAUGAAUCUCGAACGUAAUGUUACACAUAUUCAUAGUGUGAAUACCAAAAGAUGUAAAGUUGAUAACGAUAGUCCCACAUACUUGUGGCACUGCCGCCUUGGUCACAUUGGUGUCAAGCGCAUGAAGAAGCUCCAUGCUGAUGGACUUUUAGAGUCUCUCGAUUAUGAAUCAUUUGACACAUGCGAACCAUGCCUUAUGGGCAAAAUGACCAAGACUCCGUUCUCCGGUACUAUGGAGCGAGCAACCAACUUAUUGGAAAUCAUACAUACUGAUGUGUGUGGUCCAAUGAGUGAUGAGGCUCGCGGAGGAUAUUGUUAUGUUCUCACUCUCACUGAUGACUUAAGUAGA